CCGGAGCUUGCUCCACCGAAAGAAAAGGAGUGGCGAACGGGUGAGUAACACGUGGGUAACCUGCCCAUCAGAAGGGGAUAACACUUGGAAACAGGUGCUAAUACCGUAUAACAAUCGAAACCGCAUGGUUUUGAUUUGAAAGGCGCUUUCGGGUGUCGCUGAUGGAUGGACCCGCGGUGCAUUAGCUAGUUGGUGAGGUAACGGCUCACCAAGGCCACGAUGCAUAGCCGACCUGAGAGGGUGAUCGGCCACAUUGGGACUGAGACACGGCCCAAACUCCUACGGGAGGCAGCAGUAGGGAAUCUUCGGCAAUGGACGAAAGUCUGACCGAGCAACGCCGCGUGAGUGAAGAAGGUUUUCGGAUCGUAAAACUCUGUUGUUAGAGAAGAACAAGGAUGAGAGUAACUGUUCAUCCCUUGACGGUAUCUAACCAGAAAGCCACGGCUAACUACGUGCCAGCAGCCGCGGUAAUACGUAGGUGGCAAGCGUUGUCCGGAUUUAUUGGGCGUAAAGCGAGCGCAGGCGGUUUCUUAAGUCUGAUGUGAAAGCCCCCGGCUCAACCGGGGAGGGUCAUUGGAAACUGGGAGACUUGAGUGCAGAAGAGGAGAGUGGAAUUCCAUGUGUAGCGGUGAAAUGCGUAGAUAUAUGGAGGAACACCAGUGGCGAAGGCGACUCUCUGGUCUG
RNAcentral lists this ribosomal RNA (684 nucleotides) under uncultured bacterium. Its description in RNAcentral is "bacterial SSU rRNA". It matches the Rfam family "Bacterial small subunit ribosomal RNA", at positions 73 to 736 of the family's 1533-position model. The record is from RNAcentral.